ACAACAUUAACUAUGUUUGUGGAUCACCACAUGUUCUAUUGGAACAAGAGAAAAGGAGAAGAAGGGGAUGGAUGAGCAAGGACCAGAAGGACCAGAAGAAGAAGGGCAAGGGAGAUGGGGCGAUGUGCAUGUCCAUGGAGGUGUUGUUGUUGUGGGUUGGUGCUGCUGCUGUUGCAGGGGCAGCAGUGUCUCCAAGCAAACAGGUUGUUGUGUACCUACGACAUAUUUCUGUGCUCCUGGAUGUGCUACAUCACCUCAUCCUCUCAUUGGCCGCCU
Triticum aestivum (bread wheat) is the source of this 276-nucleotide long non-coding RNA. RefSeq lists it as uncharacterized. Lineage: Eukaryota; Viridiplantae; Streptophyta; Magnoliopsida; Poales; Poaceae. The transcript is spliced from 3 exons. The record is from RefSeq and is a predicted model, not a curated record.